Long non-coding RNA from Taeniopygia guttata (zebra finch), 1740 nucleotides. The record is from Ensembl. Lineage: Eukaryota; Metazoa; Chordata; Aves; Passeriformes; Estrildidae.
AUUUCCCAGCAGAGUUACCUCAGGACACAAUAGCAGCCAUGGCUCUGAACCAAAACAAUCACUGGUACUCAUGGAAAAGCAGUGAGAGAGGCACACAUGGGGCACUUGGGAAGGCAGGAUGGGGCACAGAGGACAUGAAGAAUCAAGAGCGUAGGAGAUACCUACGCUGAAAAAGUCCUCAGGAAACUCCAGCGAAAUGCAGAUCUGCAGCAGCAAUGUAGGAACUACAUCUGACUCCAGAGAAGGUCUUGUAGUGGCUUCAUCCUUUGCCUUGAGACCUGAUCUGUGCUGGGGAUGCAGCAGAUCCUUGUCUGUCCCCAGGGGUGUGAGAAGCCACCAGGUGCAGGACAUGGGCCCAAUGCACACCACAGACAGCUCAGAGCUGCAACAGUGGGGCAGCUCCCAGGAGAGGACAUGAGCCUCCUCCCAAAGCAGCUCCUCACCUCGGGAACAGCACACCGAUGGUUAACAGGGCACAGCAGCUCACCAUGGUGUGUUGGUGCAGGGAUGCUGGAGUGCACACGAUGCUGCCCUGUGGAGGGACAGAGGAACUUCCCAAGGGACUGUGAAGCACUGUUGCUGGUUUUCCAGACUCAUCCCUGCAUGUCCUGAGCUUCAGGAACUGCAGCAGGCUGAGCUGGGGCAGAGCCGUGCCUGAGGUUUCCCAGUGACUGUGGACCUGUGGAGGGAUGCAGAGCCAGCUUUGCUGAAUGCCACGGCUCCCGUGGGCAGCUGGAGGAUGCAGCGCUCACCCCGGCGUGUCUCCUGCACGUGUGCCUGCAGCAGGGCCAGCUGGGCCAGCAGGGAAUGGCCUCUCUCCAGAGCAGUAAUGUUCCACACAGGAUUGUUUUCUCCAGGCCAGGAUUAUCGCAGCGAUCUGGGCAGCCAGCGCAGCUCCAAUCCCAUUACUCCAUUAGCAUGGGCGUUAUAAGGUGACACUCUGCAUCUGCUUGACAAAACACAGCUUCAGACCGAGCAUUUCUACCAAAAGGAGCACAGUUUUCGCUUGGAGAGGAUUUGCUAUUAUUAUUGGCUUGUAGCUGCUUAGAAAUAAACAGCAAUAAAGACUUCACCAAUUUACUCUCAGCAGAAAGAUAUUAACAAAAUAAGCUCCCAGCUUAGAAAAGGCUAAAGAGAGCCUUUUUUGGAGUGUCAAUGUUUGUGGAAGUGUUUUCUGAAGAAGCUGCAGUUUGAAUUGAGCAGCUGUUGGUGCCAUGUCCCCCAGGACAAGGCACUGGGGAUGGCCCAAGGGCAGUCCUGGCAGCACAGGGGUGUGGCAGAGCCCUGCUGCCCUGAAAAGGGCAAUUUUUUCCUGGCAGGUCGAUUUUCAGACACAGAGACAAGCCCCACUCCAUUUCAGCAGUCCAAUGCCAGCCUGGGAGGGGCGAACACGAUAAGGUGCGAAAGCUUGAAAUAAAGCUUAACCCCGAGAUUGAAAUGGAGUUGUUCAGCAUUAUUGGCUUGUAAAUUGUUCCUGUGAUGAGAUUUAGUAAAAGACUGAGAGGUCUUUUGGCAGUGGGAGAGUAUUUAUGAUGCUUUUGCACUGGUACACGAACACUUUUCUGUUUUGCCCGUGUUCACACUGCCCCAGAGGCCGUGUCCUGCUCCUCAGGGUGUUGUUAUACACACAGGUGCUAGCAGCCAGGUUUGGGCUUUUCCAGCCUCCUGCCUUUGGGUACCUUGUUGCAAAGGUAAAAAGGAAUCCUGUCCUGGCAAGGAGGAGUGGGGCCCAUGGUCCAU